GUGGGCCCUCGAAGUCCGCGCGGAGAGGGAUUCAGUCCCUGGACGGGGGUGGCGUGAACGACGGGGAUCUCUGGGUGAGACCUCGCGGUCGCGUCGAUCUCUCGGUCGGGGACGCACUUCCCUCUCCCGAAGGACGCCGCAGCCUCUCGGAGGUCGGCAGUAAGGACAAUGUAGGUAGGUGGCGUGGGUGUCGGUCUCGAACCGGCGCCCCGUGUCUGGCCUCUUAUGUUCAGGCGCGAUUCCCGAGAGAGGGAACGAGUCUCGUUCGCGAGACUUGCCGUUGCCUCGCCCUAGCGAGCGGCGAACGGGAUCAGGGACGCUGAGUGAUCCGAGCGUCACCGAGCGGUGUCGCCGGACUCGUGGUACCCGCUGAGUUCCCGAUUCAGCCGCGGCGUGCGCACACGGCUUGCGGCGAGUAGGUCGGUAACCCACCCGACCCGUCUUGAAACACGGACCAAGGAGUCUAACAUGUGCGCGAGUCAGUGGGACUCGAUCAAGCCCACGGGCAGAACGAAAGUAAGGAAGUCGGGAUCCUCGUCAGCGAUGGCGGGGCGCACCGACGGCCUGGACUAUCUCGAUAUUUAUCGGGAACCCGGAGUCAGAGCGUACACGUUGGGACCCGAAAGAUGGUGAACUAUGCCCGGGCAGGUCGAAGCUAGAGGAAACUCUGGUGGAGGACCGCAGCGGUUCUGACGUGCAAAUCGAUCGUCGAACCUAGGUAUAGG
This 725-nucleotide ribosomal RNA is filed under the name Pholcus opilionoides. Its description in RNAcentral is "partial large subunit ribosomal RNA". The stretch from base 220 to 725 matches the Rfam family "Eukaryotic large subunit ribosomal RNA", at positions 1 to 921 of the family's 3401-position model. The record is from RNAcentral. Lineage: Eukaryota; Metazoa; Arthropoda; Arachnida; Araneae; Pholcidae.